This is a long non-coding RNA of Cyprinus carpio carpio, 1556 nucleotides long. NCBI's taxonomy places the organism in Eukaryota, Metazoa, Chordata, Actinopteri, Cypriniformes, Cyprinidae. The record is from Ensembl.
ACUCUAUAUUAGUCGCUCCAUUUCCUAGACAAACAGCACGGUGCUUCUUUUAAUGCGCCGUUUAUUUACUACAAUUGGAAAUAUUUCUUCAUUUAUCCAGUCUACUGAAAAUCCAUCUUAAUCUGAAUGAAGCUGAAAACUGAACCAAGUGAUAAUCUGCAAAGAGAGGAUGACAAAAGAUAUGUAUUCAAUACCUGCAAAUCUUAAAAAUAAGUGAUUUAAAGAGUCACUUCCAGCUGACUCAAACUCAAGCUGAGGAGUUGGUACGGCUGUUGGCGCCUUGGAAAUGGACUUCCAUUAGGCAAGAGGAAUAGACAGUGUGGCAUCCUGUGCUUGGUAGUCUGUGGGCUCUUUCUACCCAAGAGUCUUACCACAGUGUGGCAAACCGCUACACGUCACAGAGUCACUCAUUUGUGAUCAGCUGGAUGUAUUCUGCACCCUUGUUACCAGUAUCUUGGAUAAUGAAACUCAUUGGCUUCAGUGGGAGGAAGCAGAAAUAUCUGUGGUGGGCUUCUUUUCUACUGUGGGGUUAUCAGAUACUCUCUGUGUAGUAGGAAUGUGUUUCAUUCCUGUUGAGAAACCUACCGAUGUGCCAGAUCCAGAGGUACAUAGAAACGCAGAGGGGUUGUAUGCUGUAAAACUCUUGGCUUCUUGCAACCACAAGGGUCAUUUCACCUGUGUCUGGUGCACCAUAGAAACUGGCAUAACUCAAGAGUCCUGUCAGCAUCAGAGGUUGACAAGGCAUUGCAGAAAGACCAUGUGACACUUUUACAUGGCAAACACAUCACUGGCAAUUUCACCUUUCCACUUUCAGAGCACUUUCUGACUCCAUUCCCAGAUUAUGCAACAAUAGGACAGAAAAAUGUAUGUUAUAACCGGAAAGUGCAGUCAUCUCUUGCAGCGGUGCAAGGCUCCAUCAGUACUCUGAGAAAUUCUUUUCAGCGGCUCAGAUGUCUGCAGAAGCAUUCCAUUUGCCAAACCAGUUUAGCUGUGAAGACCUGCUGUAUUUUAUACAACAUGUUCCUAAAAACAUAAAGUGCCAGUGGACUGCACUGAGGAUGAUGUAGCCCAAAAACCUUUCCGUUAACUACCCUACGGACACUCUGGAAGUCUUGGUGGAAUAUCUAGAAGACAAGACAUCACAGCUGUAUAAGUAUUAUCAAAUAAUGCUGUAUACGAUAAUGAAUGCAAUAUGCUGACAAAAUGUUCAAAUUUAAAUUAUAAGGUGACUGUUCUGUUAAUCACUGUAGUAUGUAUAUUUUUUUUGUUAUGUGUACUAUUAUGUUGUAAUAUGUUGGAGUGGCAUCAUACAAGUACUUACAAAAUCAAGAAGGACAAGUUUUUGUGUAAUAGGGAUCUAAAGUUUUCAUCUGCAAAUUAAAACCAGGGUUUUCAACUAGGGAUCUGUGAGCAGAUGUGUAAAACAGGAUUUUCUACUAUGCAUUAUUAAUCCAUUAUGCAUUAUGGAAUGUUAAUUAUAGUUUAAAUAAAAAAUAAUACAAAAUGCUAUUUAAGUCUUUGGGUUGGCUAAUAGCCUGUGCGAGGGAUCCCCGAAU